UACGGAGGGUGCAAGCGUUACUCGGAAUCACUGGGCGUAAAGGACGCGUAGGCGGCCGGAUAAGUCAGAUGUGAAAGCCCACGGCUCAACCGUGGAACUGCAUUUGAAACUGUUUGGCUAGAGUCUGGGAGAGGCCGAUGGAAUUGGUGGUGUAGGGGUAAAAUCCGUAGAGAUCACCAGGAAUACCGAUGGCGAAGGCGAUCGGCUGGAACAGUACUGACGCUGAGGCGUGAAAGCGUGGGGAGCAAACAGGAUUAGAUACCCUGGUAGUCCACGCCCUAAACGAUGGAUGCUAGUCGUUGUGAUGCUUGUCAUUGCAGUGAUGCAGCUAACGCAAUAAGCAUCCCGCCUGGGGAGUACGGUCGCAAGAUUAAAACUCAAAGGAAUAGACGGGGACCCGCACAAGCGGUGGAGCAUGUGGUUUAAUUCGAAGAUACGCGAAGAACCUUACCUGGGCUUGACAUCCCGAGAAUCCUCCAGAGAUGGAGGAGUGCUACUUCGGUAGAACUCGGUGACAGGUGCUGCACGGCUGUCGUCAGCUCGUGUCGUGAGAUGUUGGGUUAAGUCCCGCAACGAGCGCAACCCUCGUCCUUAGUUGCCAGCACUUCGGGUGGGCACUCUAAGGAGACUGCCUUCGCAAGGAGGAGGAAGGUGAGGACGACGUCAAGUCAUCAUGGCCCUUACGGCCAGGGCAACACACGUGCUACAAUGGGGUGUACAAUGAGACGCGAUACCGCGAGGUGGAGCAAAUCUAUAAAGCAUCUCUCAGUUCGGAUUGUAGUCUGCAACUCGACUACAUGAAGCUGGAAUCACUAGUAAUCGUAGAUCAGCUAUGCUACGGUGAAUACGUUCCCGGGUC
RNAcentral lists this ribosomal RNA (859 nucleotides) under uncultured bacterium. RNAcentral's name for it is "bacterial SSU rRNA". It matches the Rfam family "Bacterial small subunit ribosomal RNA", at positions 524 to 1380 of the family's 1533-position model. The record is from RNAcentral.